AACGUCUUCCCCUCAAAUUUCAUUUUGGUCACCUCAUUCCUGAAAGGAGAGAACGUGCAUGUUCCGGGCUGCCUCGGCCAUCACCCCAGCAGAUCACCGCUAACGCACGGCCCCCACGCAGCGGAACCGGAUCGGAACAACAAACCCGAAAGGAGUGAAGGCCAAAAACGCCGCGUUGCCUGACACGUCCUGGAAGACAGUAACGGCUUCUCAUCACAAUGUUGCAGAGCUAGCAAAGCCUACGAGUCAAUAGCAAUCCUCAGCCCUAAAUUAGGUGGCAUUAAUGACUCCUCGGUUUUAGUUUUGCCAGCAGAACAGUUCUUGACAGUUUUAUUUAGACCGUGGUAUCUUGCAUAUAUUUUGGGAUCUGCAGCAGCAUAAAAGAAUAGGCUGGUCCAGCAGAAUUAAUGAGGAAAAAAUGCAGCGUAACUCCCGGCUCCAGCAGUCUUAUCGAUUUACUAGUAAGUAACAAACUGAAGACAGUGCCCUGCAUACCACCAAUUCUUUCACUAAUAAGUAAACUGCAAAACAGUAAAAACCUGUUAAACUUUCGACUCCCUCAGAUCUCUGCACGGCAUUUAUAGCCAGUGCAGCUGGCCAGCGUCAAGACAGUUUAAAACCAGCAAUUAGCGUCAUGUACAGAGCAAGUCAGCAGCUUAAUUUAAUCAUAACAUCUAGACUCUGGGGAAGGUAUCGCUAACUGUUUGGGUGCUCAUGCAAAAAACAGAUAUACACUGAAUUUCAACAGUAUUACGGAGCAAUUGGGGCUGCUCAGUAGUUGCUCAGAUUCACUCUGGUUUUUGCUUAGACACUAGAUGUUUGACCCACACUCUGACUUCCCUAGAAGGAUGCUGAGCCGAACGAAAUCUGCACGUCAUGGGUCAGCACAAGACACGGUAUUUCUGGCGCAUUUGGCAAAAAAGCAGACAAAGAAUUUUACAGCUGAUGUUACCACAGCUUGUGUUUUGCUUGGUGCCUGCACUCCUCUAGCCCGGGUCAUGCGAGUUGCUUGUGAAUUACAUCUAAAACAACAGCGGCUUGGUGCAAGUGGAAACUUAGAAAGUCUUAGAAGCCUACUAAAACGAUGGCAUAGAAACAAGGUCAAUUCUUUCACGUUAAAUUACUUUCUACUAUGGAGCUACAGCCACCAUCUGUCAUGUCUCCCACAGCAAAGCCCCAUUUCAGACCACAGAAAGUCGUGGAUUUCCUUCCUCUCUCCGUUCAGGGUUACAGCUCUCCCACUCGGCUUCCUCCGAUGCAGCAUCCACUGAUCUAACCCGGAGGCAGGAGACUUUUGCUUUGAUUUUCGAUUUCCGCACGCGUAGCCCAGUGCUCCGGGUCUUCGUCUCCAGGCUCGCUACACAGAGGCAGCUACCUGAACGUACAUGUCAAGCUGCGCAGGCAGCUAGUUUUCCUGAUUAGAUCUUCAGAAUUUGAGUAGUGAGCAAAUUGGUUUUAAAUCCAGAUUAGAUCAAAAUCCAUCUUAAUCUGUCAAGAGUAACCGGCCAAAAGCAAAGAGCCCUGGACCUCAAUCCAAUAUCCUGUAUAAAACAAGACAUAAAUCCCCAAACUAAUCAUGCCUGAGAUGCAACAGACAUGUCUUGAGGAAGAAGAAAGAUCUCCAUGUGUCUUUGCAGAAAGCAGGUUACUGUUUUCAGCAGUGGCAGCACCGCUGUCUACGCUGCACAGCAAAGGCGACGAGCAGACCACAGUCACCGUCGCAGCUCGAGACCUGGCCGGCCAAAGCGCUUUUCUCCACGCCGCUCCUUCCCAAGGCUGCAGGCUGGUCGCGCGGCUCCGCGUGCCUCCGGGACGGGGAGCCGGCCCCGACCUCCCCUGCUGCAGAGACACCGCCCUGCAGAGCCGCUCGAGGGCCUCGACCGCGGUGGAACGAUCGAGACCGAAACACGACGACUGUACAAAAAAUUUGAUAAACUAAAAAAAGAGGGGGGGGGGGAAGCUAAACAUAGAAGUCACUGAAAGGAAAUGGUCUGCAUUAACAAGAAUUCAGUCCAGCAUUUUUGAAAUGUUUUAAAUAUUAAAUACACUAUCUGUGCGUUA
Rhea pennata is the source of this 2061-nucleotide long non-coding RNA. RefSeq lists it as uncharacterized. The transcript has 2 exons. Lineage: Eukaryota; Metazoa; Chordata; Aves; Rheiformes; Rheidae. The record is from RefSeq and is a predicted model, not a curated record.